RNAcentral lists this ribosomal RNA (472 nucleotides) under uncultured bacterium. RNAcentral describes it as "bacterial SSU rRNA". It matches the Rfam family "Bacterial small subunit ribosomal RNA", at positions 328 to 793 of the family's 1533-position model. The record is from RNAcentral.
GACGACGACUCCUACGGGAGGCAGCAGUGGGGAAUAUUGCACAAUGGGCGCAAGCCUGAUGCAGCCAUGCCGCGUGUAUGAAGAAGGCCUUCGGGUUGUAAAGUACUUUCAGCAGUGAGGAAGGUGGGUAUGUUAAUAGCAUACUCAUUUGACGUUAGCUGCAGAAGAAGCACCGGCUAACUCCGUGCCAGCAGCCGCGGUAAUACGGAGGGUGCGAGCGUUAAUCGGAAUUACUGGGCGUAAAGCGCAUGCAGGUGGUUUGUUAAGUCAGAUGUGAAAGCCCGGGGCUCAACCUCGGAAUUGCAUUUGAAACUGGCAAACUAGAGUACUGUAGAGGGGGUAGAAUUUCAGGUGUAGCGGUGAAAUGCGUAGAGAUCUGAAGGAAUACCGGUGGCGAAGGCGGCCCCCUGGACAGAUACUGACACUCAGAUGCGAAAGCGUGGGGAGCAAACAGGAUUAGAUACCCUGGGAG